AACGAACGCUGGCGGCAGGCCCAACACAUGCAAGUCGAGCGAGGACUUCGGUUCUAGCGGCGGACGGGUGAGUAACGCGUGGGAAUGUGCCCUUCUCUACGGAAUAGCCCUGGGAAACUGGGAGUAAUACCGUAUACGCCCUAUUGGGGAAAGAUUUAUCGGAGAAGGAUCAGCCCGCGUUGGAUUAGGUAGUUGGUGGGGUAAUGGCCUACCAAGCCGACGAUCCAUAGCUGGUUUGAGAGGAUGAUCAGCCACACUGGGACUGAGACACGGCCCAGACUCCUACGGGAGGCAGCAGUGGGGAAUCUUAGACAAUGGGGGCAACCCUGAUCGAGCCAUGCCGCGUGAGUGAUGAAGGCCUUAGGGUUGUAAAGCUCUUUCAGCUGGGAAGAUAAUGACGGUACCAGCAGAAGAAGCCCCGGCUAACUCCGUG
RNAcentral lists this ribosomal RNA (433 nucleotides) under uncultured bacterium. Its description in RNAcentral is "partial 16S ribosomal RNA". It matches the Rfam family "Bacterial small subunit ribosomal RNA", at positions 29 to 507 of the family's 1533-position model. The record is from RNAcentral.